AGAGUUUGAUCCUGGCUCAGAUUGAACGCUGGCGGAAUGCUUUACACAUGCAAGUCGAACGGCAGCACAGGAGCUUGCUCCUGGUGGCGAGUGGCGAACGGGUGAGUAACACGUCGGAACGUAUCCAUGUAAUGGGGGAUAACGCAGCGAAAGCUGUGCUAAUACCGCAUACGCCCUACGGGGGAAAGCAGGGGAUCUUCGGACCUUGCGUUAUUGGAGCGGCCGACGUCUGAUUAGCUAGUUGGUGGGGUAAAGGCCUACCAAGGCGACGAUCAGUAGCUGGUCUGAGAGGAUGAUCAGCCACACUGGAACUGAGACACGGUCCAGACUCCUACGGGAGGCAGCAGUGGGGAAUUUUGGACAAUGGGGGCAACCCUGAUCCAGCCAUUCCGCGUGAGUGAAGAAGGCCUUCGGGUUGUAAAGCACUUUUAUCAGGAGCGAAAUCUGCAUGCUUAAUACGUGUGCAGUCUGACGGUACCUGAGGAAUAAGCACCGGCUAACUUCGUGCCAGCAGCCGCGGUAAUACGAAGGGUGCAAGCGUUAAUCGGAAUUACUGGGCGUAAAGGGUGCGUAGGCGGUUCGUUAAGUCUGUCGUGAAAUCCCCGGGCUCAACCUGGGAAUGGCAUUUUGAACUGGCAGUCUAGAGUGCGUCAGAGGGGGGUGGAAUUCCACGUGUAGCAGUGAAAUGCGUAGAGAUGUGGAGGAACACCAAUGGCGAAGGCAGCCCCCUGGGAUGACACUGACGCUCAUGUACGAAAGCGUGGGUAGCAAACAGGAUUAGAUACCCUGGUAGUCG
This 796-nucleotide ribosomal RNA is filed under the name uncultured bacterium. RNAcentral describes it as "bacterial SSU rRNA". It matches the Rfam family "Bacterial small subunit ribosomal RNA", at positions 8 to 796 of the family's 1533-position model. The record is from RNAcentral.